GUCAGUAGCAGUCUCGCUGUCAGAGGAACCAGUCAAUAGGGUGAAUGUUAUUUUCUGUGUUACGAAAUUGGUAUUUGCUCGGGAGACACAACCGUUUGUUUGGAUUUUCUCCCAACAGGGAGCAAGUAUCCAAGAACUCCACAUACUGAAAGAAAACAUUGAUAUCAAAAUAAUAAUAAAAAUCCAACUCAAUUCAUCCAUUCAAUUGAAAAUGGCAGAAAACUUACUCAAUAAUUUGCUAGCUACGAUAGUAAUGAGCAUCAGGCAUACAUACCGUAAAUUAGUUGGGAACAAAUCUACAACAACAGCCAAUACAAUGCUCAUACCAAUGGAGGAGGCAGCCUCAAAGAUACAGG
Fopius arisanus is the source of this 356-nucleotide long non-coding RNA. RefSeq lists it as uncharacterized. The record is from RefSeq and is a predicted model, not a curated record. The transcript has 3 exons. Lineage: Eukaryota; Metazoa; Arthropoda; Insecta; Hymenoptera; Braconidae.